Long non-coding RNA from Molossus molossus (Pallas's mastiff bat), 212 nucleotides. RefSeq lists it as uncharacterized. The record is from RefSeq and is a predicted model, not a curated record. The transcript has 3 exons. NCBI's taxonomy places the organism in Eukaryota, Metazoa, Chordata, Mammalia, Chiroptera, Molossidae.
AGGUUGGGAAAACUGGAUAGACACAUGAAAAGAAUUGUCAAACUCCUAGUAGAAAACAUAGACUGAAAGAGACAACAGAAGAAACAAAGAAACUUUUCAGGAUACUAUGCCAAUAUACCAAGCAAGAGUUCAUGAUGCUCAGAGGAGGCUGGGACGCACAGAGGUACUUCCAAAUAAAAGGCACUUAAUAAAUAUCUGUUGGAUGACAGGAA